RNAcentral lists this ribosomal RNA (434 nucleotides) under uncultured Lachnospiraceae bacterium. RNAcentral describes it as "partial 16S ribosomal RNA". It matches the Rfam family "Bacterial small subunit ribosomal RNA", at positions 341 to 792 of the family's 1533-position model. Lineage: Bacteria; Bacillati; Bacillota; Clostridia; Lachnospirales; Lachnospiraceae. The record is from RNAcentral.
ACGGAAGGCAGCAGUGGGGAAUAUUGCACAAUGGGCGCAAGCCUGAUGCAGCGACGCCGCGUGAGCGAAGAAGUAUUUCGGUAUGUAAAGCUCUAUCAGCAGGGAAGAAAAUGACGGUACCUGACUAAGAAGCCCCGGCUAACUACGUGCCAGCAGCCGCGGUAAUACGUAGGGGGCAAGCGUUAUCCGGAUUUACUGGGUGUAAAGGGAGCGUAGAUGGCGAAGCAAGUCUGAAGUGAAAGCCCGGGGCUUAACCCCGGGACUGCUUUGGAAACUGUUUUGCUAGAGUGCAGGAGAGGUAAGCGGAAUUCCUAGUGUAGCGGUGAAAUGCGUAGAUAUUAGGAGGAACACCAGUGGCGAAGGCGGCUUACUGGACUGUAACUGACAUUGAGGCUCGAAAGCGUGGGGAGCAAACAGGAUUAGAUACCCUGGUA